Molecule: ribosomal RNA, 502 nt
Filed under: uncultured bacterium
Lineage: Bacteria
Description: partial 16S ribosomal RNA
Rfam family: Bacterial small subunit ribosomal RNA
Source: RNAcentral
AUUGAACGCUGGCGGCGUGCCUAACACACGCAAGUCGAGCGGUAACAGGUGUAGCAAUACAUGCUGACGAGCGGCGGACGGGUGAGUAAUGUUUGGGAAUCUGCCUAUACGUGGUGGACAACCCGUGGAAACUCGGGCUAAUACCGCAUACGCUCUACGGAGGAAAGCCGGGGACCGCAAGGCCUGGCGCUAGUAGAUGAGCCCAAAUUGGAUUAGCUAGUGGGUGAGGUAACGGCUCACCAAGGCGACGAGCCAUAACUGGUUUGAGAGAACGACCAGUCACACCGGAACGGAGACACGGUCCGGACUCCUACGGGAGGCAGCAGUGGGGAAUAUUGGACAAUGGGCGAAAGCCUGAUCCAGCGACGCCGCGUGGGUGAAGAAGGCCUGCGGGUUGUAAAGCCCUUUCGGUGGGGAUAAAAAGCCUUGGUUUAACACACCAGGGUCUUGAUCUAACCCAAGAAAGAAGCACCGGCUAACUCUGUGCCAGCCGCCGCGGUAA